UUCAAGGCGCAGCCGAGGCGUAGAGGGGGUCCGGUUUGGUGGCCUCAGUAUUGCAUCUCUGCUUUUUGCAGAUGAUGUGGUUCUGUUGGCUUCAUCAAGCUGUGAUCUCCAGCUCGGUCAUCUGGGAGGAUCUCAGAGUAGAGCCGCUCCUCCUCCGAGUACGAGAGGAGCCAGAUGAGGUGGCUGGGGCAUCUGAUUCGGACGCGGGCAUGUCCCGCCAGGAGGAGACCCCGGGGACGACCCAGGACACGCUGGAGAGACUACAUCCUUCGGCUGCCCUGGGAACGCCUCGGGAUCCCCCCGGAAGAGCUGGAGGAAGCGGCUGGGGAGAGGGAAGUCUGGGCGUCCCUGCUAAAGCUACUGCCCCCGCGACCCGACCUUGGAUAAGCGGUAGAAAAUGGAUGGAUGGAUAACGACCUACCAACUACCUACCUAAUUAGGUGUUGCUACAUAUCACAAUGUGAGACAGGAUUGGCACUUGGAGAAGACUGAAGACUCGCCGAUUUCAGCACAAGGUUAGAAGGUCUGAGACAGAAAGGGACAAUGAUGACAUCACUUAUGCUAACCAGCUACUCAACGAAAUCAAAAAGGAAACAAGACCACAAAGACUUCGACAUGUUCAGUACGCAGACCACCAGUUUGAUAAGCAUGCAAUUCCGCGCGCAAUUGUAAUCGAGUCAGAUAUGUCAUUUUGUAACUAUGGAAGUUGAACCACUUCCAAUUCAAAUCCAAACUAAAAGAAUUAUUACGCAUAGAAUUGAAGACGUUUACGUUCGUCAUUUUAUUAGAACUGGUCUGAUGAUUUUGUCUGCAAACGAAGAGACCUUGGGGCUCGUCAGCAGACCAGACAGAAUAACUCAUGUGGAUGAAAAAAGCUUCAAGAAAGCCGUGUCAUUAAUAGACAGCCCACAAUCAACAAUAAAUGAUUUGUAAUCAAAGAACCGCUGAGAAUCACAAGACCUUUAACGAGAGCUCAAUGGAAUGUGUGUGUUUGUGUUGUGCUUCCCGUAUUACUGUGUUUUCUUCUACAAGGACAGUGUUUGGAUAAAUAAUUUCAAGACAUUGCUCGUCUUUUCUUUGUUAUGUUUAAAACAAUAACGCCAAACCAGAAUUUGGCAUGCAAAUACAGUAAAUAAAGCUGUUUCAAAAAUUG
Long non-coding RNA from Phyllopteryx taeniolatus (common seadragon), 1153 nucleotides. RefSeq lists it as uncharacterized. The transcript is spliced from 2 exons. NCBI's taxonomy places the organism in Eukaryota, Metazoa, Chordata, Actinopteri, Syngnathiformes, Syngnathidae. The record is from RefSeq and is a predicted model, not a curated record.